Puntigrus tetrazona (Sumatra barb) is the source of this 656-nucleotide long non-coding RNA. RefSeq lists it as uncharacterized. The record is from RefSeq and is a predicted model, not a curated record. The transcript has 4 exons. NCBI's taxonomy places the organism in Eukaryota, Metazoa, Chordata, Actinopteri, Cypriniformes, Cyprinidae.
ACGUAUGUAUUUAAUUCAAUUUCAUUAAACAGUGUCUUUGCGACUGACUACAUGAGAAAACUAUUAAAAACAAGCAAACCCUGGCAAGAAUUAAAUUAAUUCAAAAGUAACACACUUCUUUCCUUAAAAAGUAUGUAAUGUAAUUAGUUAUUUUGUUAGGGAGGAACGCAAUAUUGUAAUGCAUUAUUUUUUCCCCAACAUUGUUAUUUAAUUCUGGAGAGUGUCUUGUGUGACAGGGUUUAACUCUCUCUGGAUUCUCUCUCAGGUUUGCCCGCUUUAGUCGUCGCCAUUUCGGUCGGCUUCACCAAAGCCAAAGGCUAUGGCACCGUCAACUACUGUUGGUUGUCUCUUGAAGGCGGUCUCUUGUACUCGUUCGUGGGUCCGGCGGCUGCUGUCGUUCUGGUCAACAUGGUGAUUGGAAUUCUGGUUUUCAACAAGCUUGUGUCCAAGGACGGCAUCACAGAUGUUAAGCUGAAAGAGAGGGCUGGGGCGUCGCUGUGGAGCUCCUGUGUAGUUCUCCCUCUGCUCGCGCUGACCUGGAUGUCUGCCGUAUUAGCCAUCACAGACCGUCGCUCCGCACUGUUCCAGAUCCUCUUCGCCGUCUUCGAUUCUUUGGAGGGAUUCAUCAUUGUCAUGGUACACUGCAUCCUGCGCAG